AGAAGUGAGACCUUUGGGAGGAGCUCCCUCAGCUCUUUGGGUGCCUGCUUCAUCCUCAUUUAUGUUCAUGUGAUCUCAAAAUCCAAAAGGAAGUUGUGGGCUUGGCCACAGUUCACUGUGCUGUCCUGAACCAAGUUAAAACCAUCCUCCUGGUUUCCAAUUUUGCAGAAAGAAGAGACAGAUCCAUGGGGCUGCAGGAGCUCGGGCCUGGGGUCGCAGCAGGGGGAACAUGGGUAUAAAAGGCAUAGAAAUUAAAUCUGAGGCCUGGGAACCCCAUGGAGUCAAGGAGCAGUCUUGUCACUUCUUCCUGGCCUUGCACCUGGCACAAAGGUGGACUUAAUAAAUAUCUGUGCCAUGAAAGACAGCAGGUCCUGAGCUGGUGGGAGUGGGGGGACACUUUGAGAAAUCAGUAGAGCUUAAUUCUGCUAUCAAUUUUAUAAUUUUGUAAGUACUACAUUCAAUUACAUAUGGGGCAUGGCCAACCAAUUUUGGCAACUUAGGUUUUAUUGAUAAUAAUGGCCAUAAUUUAUUAAAAAUUACUUAUAAGUCUGGCAUUGUGCUAAGCACUUUACAUAUAUUAUUACAUUUAAUACCGACUACAAUGCUGUGUCAAAGCAAACCCCAUUGGUUACCUACCCUUCAGCCAUACCUAACUCUUACUUGGUAACUAAACCCUGAAUUUUUUUUUUUUUCUGAGCUGCAGUGUGCCUAGCUCCAGGAUAUGAAUUCUGGUUGGUCUAAGGCAAUAAUAACAACCCUAUUCCCCGAUUUCCCAGGUCCCUUGUUGUAAGACUUGCUGUGUGCCCUGCUUCUGGCUGAUAGGAUCUAAGGGGAAAUCCAGUACAGGGACUACUGAGAAGUCUUCUAUUUUCCUGUUAAGAGGAAAGAUGUAGCUGCCUUGAAUAUAAAUGUGAUAUUUGGAGCUAUAGCAGCCAAUUUGUAAGCCUCAGGCAAUAAGAAUGAGGGAAAGAAAGAAUCGGGGAGAUAUUAUUGAGGCACUGAACCAACGCCAUGAGCUCCCACUUCCAGAGCUCUUAAGUGAGGAAAACUAUUCCUGUUUGUUUAAGCCACUUGCCUCAGGUUUCUUUACUUGCAACUAAAUGAUGCAAACUGUAUGCUAUAGAAUACUAUCAUUUUCAUUUUUGAUUGAGAAUAUAAAUGUAAGUAACUGGCUCAAGGUCACACAGCUGGUAAAUUGUGCUAAAUUCAAAUCUAGUUCUAUUCAAAUUUAAAGUCUGUCUUCUCAAUGACUAUGCUAUGUUUAAACUAUCAGUGUUGUUAAUAUGAGUAUGUUUUUCAGCCCCUAGGAACUCUAAAGAAUAGAACAACACAACAGCUGAGAAGAGGAAAAGCAGGCUUCCCAGAGCCUUUAAUGUGCCUGGGGCCCAGGCCUCUCUGAGUCUGGGAUGCUGAUCUUCAGUACGAGGCUGGAAUGGCCCUGAAGAUUUAUUUGCUAUCAUGUCUGGGAGCUUCUCCAGCAGCUGAAGCAGACAUGGGCUGAGGGCAGGAAGGGAGCAAUUGCGAUUGAGGUUUUGAUGUACAGGCUCUGCUGGGUUGGUGAGGGAGCAUAGAGCAAUGCGGGGGAGCUAGUCUGGAGGCUGGUUUGAGACCCAGCCUUAACACUGACUUAGUGGGCGCUGGUCAUCCAGCUACAUCCCCGCCCAGAGUCAGGGAACAUGGCAACUCAGUGCAGGUGUGACAGGAGACAGAGACUGCCACUUGCUUGCAGCAUUCUUAUCACGUAAACAGAAAGAAGGGAGGAUUUGCCUGAAAACCAUACCCCAGCACGUGCAGGUAGUGACAGGAGGCUGUGGGCCUGCCUGAGGGCUCUGGGAAGCAGCUGGAUCCUGCAGUCCCAGCGUUUUCUACCAGGAAAUGAGGACAAGGACACUGUCACUCACCCCCAACUACGUCUAGGCACAGGAGAACAAAGAUGAUACCCGGGAGCUCUGACCCCGACCUGUGUCUAGGGACAGACUGCGGUGGAGGCAGAAAGGACUACUUGAGUGUAUCAGCUCUAAGGAUGAGAGCAGAGGCAGCAGAGCAGACAUAACUGAGCACCCCCGAGGUCGGGCGUGGUCCUCGAGUGGUUUUUCUGCUUCGUUGAUCAGAUUCUUUAAGGCUCCGAGUUCAUUAAACAGAAUCUCCAUUCCAUGUCCCUGAGUCCCUGUGUGGGCUUGGUUCCUACACCACAUGGCCGAAGCCCGCCAAGAUGGAUGACACGUCCUCCACAGGCAGGCCCCUUGCCACCCACCCUGUCCUGAGCGAUGUCUGCUGAGAUCACGGGAAUUCAUCUCUCGCACCAGGAAGCCUCGGCGGCACCGCCCUCCCUUUCUCCUUCACCAGACCCCUGCCUUGUGGGCCCUCCGGCCCUUCCCUUUGGGGCCCUCUGUUCCCUGCCCUGAGCUCCACGCCAGCUCUCCCAGUGCCUCUGGAGCAGACCCGCUCCACUCUGCCCUGCCCCUCACCGCUCCCCUCAAAGCUUACCUGUGCUGCCCUGAGAGUCCCUUUCCAGCCCAGAGCUAGCCGGUGUCCGUGCCCCUGGCUGUCCCUCAGCACCACCCUAUCCUGAAACUGACCCCUUUCCAAUCCUCCGCCUACUUCCUGACCCCGCCUCUGCUCCCUCAGGGUUCAGGGUUCCAAGUAGGAAGGGCCCGGCAGGAGGUCCUUUGGGAGAGAAAGAUGAGAGAGACUGGAAGGGGUCAGGCUAAAUGGGACUCUGGAUCCACCUCUGCAAAGACUGUUGUUACACACAGUUGUUUCCAACAUACUGUUGGAUUUGGGUUACAAGAAGGGUUAAACUACCUAAAAAUUUGUUUUUCACAUAUAGACGAGUGUGUACUUUCUUAAGUAGUUUUUCACAGUGCUUUUUAAAAAUAUAUACUGCUUAAAAAAUGAAAAGUCAGCAAUAAAUGAAGCAGAAAGAGUAACAGUAUAUUUAUAGAGCUUGUUUCAUAUGCUACCACUAUUAAAAUAUCCAGAUGUACCAUUAUGGGACCAAAAUCUACUCAGCGUAUAUUGAAGCGAAUGCUUCCCAGCUGUACCAUUUCACAUUCUUUGCACUGAAUUUUGAGUCAGAAAGCCCUGACAUUAGGUCUUCUGUGCAGCAUUUAGGACUAGUGCAAGCCAGCCUGAUCAUGCUGGUUAGGAACAGCAAUAUUGUUUUUUUAAAAAAAUUAUUGUUAAAAUAUCCCUUGUACCUAGAAAAGUUCAAAGUAGUACAAAUUGAGGUAAAUGAAAAACUAGUCUUUUAAACUUUGCUGCCUCGCCGACCAGUCUAACUCCCUAAAGGCAAGCACUUUGAACCAUUUCUAACUUUACUUCUUGUUUUGGUUAUUACCAGAAUUGUAGAUGAGUGACCUCCUACUUCCCGACCGUCAGAGAUGGUGAAUGUCAGUCAUCUGCACCCUCCUCCACAUUAUCCCAUGAGGAGACCUGCCUGUCAGCAAUGGAGACGUGUGCGGCAUUGUAUCUCAGGACCCAGAGCCAGGCUCGGCGUGCGGAGGGCAUUUCAUAAGGAAUUGUAGGAUAAACUAAACCAUAUACUCAAAUAUGUAUUUCUGGGUCAGCAGCCCUGACACAGUCAUCCCUGGAGAGACUGUGAUAAACUCUGACUCCCUGCUGUUCUGGAAGGAAUUUAGUCCUCUUGGUGACUGACUGGAGCAGGAACUGCCUUCAAGGAGGCCUCACAUGUGGAUCUGCCAUAGGGCAAGCACACCUGGAGAAUGACUUUGGGGGAGUGACCUUGGAUUUGCUCUGUCUGCAAUAAACAUUCUGGAACGUGUUGAAGUCAUAACAAGUUACUCACUCCUGGUGGGCUGGCAGGAAAGAAACCAGAGUGGGGAAUAGGGUUCAGUACAAAAAAAACACCAAAUAGAGCUUUUGAAUGGAAUGCUCACCUGAACCAGGUG
Molecule: long non-coding RNA, 3911 nt
Filed under: Equus caballus (horse)
Lineage: Eukaryota; Metazoa; Chordata; Mammalia; Perissodactyla; Equidae
Description: lncRNA (ENSECAG00000055089.1)
Source: RNAcentral